GACGAACGCUGGCGGCGUGCUUAACACAUGCAAGUCGAACGGAAAGGCCCUGCUUGCAGGGUACUCGAGUGGCGAACGGGCGAGUAACACGGGGGUGAUCUGCCCUGCACUUCGGGGUAGGCCUGGGAAACUGGGUCUAAACCCGGAUAGCAGCCACUUCUUGCGGGAGGGUUGGAAAGUUCUUUCGGUGUAGGAUGAGCUCGCGUCCUAUUGGCUAGUUGGUGGGGUAAAGGCCUACCAAGGCGACGACGGGUAGCCGGCCUGAGAGGGUGAGCGGCCACGCUGGAGCGGCGACACGGUCCAGACUCCUACGGGAGGCAGCAGUGGGGAAUAUUGGACACUGGGCGCAUGCCUGAUCCAGCCAUACCGCGUGGGUGAAGAAGGCCUUCGGGUUGUAAAGCCCUUUUGUUGGGAAAGAAAAGCAGCAGGUUAAUACCCCGCUGUUCUGACGGUACCCAAAGAAUAAGCACCGGCUAACUUCGUG
RNAcentral lists this ribosomal RNA (484 nucleotides) under uncultured bacterium. RNAcentral describes it as "partial 16S ribosomal RNA". It matches the Rfam family "Bacterial small subunit ribosomal RNA", at positions 28 to 507 of the family's 1533-position model. The record is from RNAcentral.